GUCUACAGCCAUACCACCCUGAAUGUGCCCCAUCUCGUCUGAUCUUGGAAGCUAAGCAGGGUCAGGCCUGGCUGGUACUUGGAUGAGAGACAAAAAGAAAACUAUGAUAGAAGCCC
This is a ribosomal RNA of Cavia porcellus (domestic guinea pig), 116 nucleotides long. NCBI's taxonomy places the organism in Eukaryota, Metazoa, Chordata, Mammalia, Rodentia, Caviidae. The record is from Ensembl.